CUGUCUUUGAGGCCACCUACCCUAUACCACUCGUCCCGGAAAGGCUUCUUCUUUAGGCAUUGAAGACUGUUCCUUUCUGGGUGAAGGAGAAUCACGUAGCAAUUGGGAGCAAGAUGCAUCCAUGUAACCCAGUACUGGAGGUCAAGAUGGAGACAAUCUCCACAGCCACCAUGGCCUUUCCCUGAGUGCUACUAUAACUCAGGAGGAAAGCCACCCAGAUACUGCAGAACACCAACAUGCUGAAGGCAAACCAAAGAGAAGAAAGACUUUGUGCUUGAGAGUUGAAAAUGAGACCACCUUGCCAUGUCAAUUCAGGUCUCUUAAAGUCUUCCCUUGCAGGAGAAGAGGGAAGUGAAAAGAUCUUCUUGUGAACAGGGUCUGGUGUGGACCUCCAGCAAACUCCAACAGAUUAAUUCAUUGACAGAAUGGGAUUGUCUUGUGAAAGGGAAAUAUCUUGGAUCCCUU
RNAcentral lists this long non-coding RNA (465 nucleotides) under Homo sapiens (human). RNAcentral describes it as "ZSCAN5A antisense RNA 1". The record is from RNAcentral. Lineage: Eukaryota; Metazoa; Chordata; Mammalia; Primates; Hominidae.